RNAcentral lists this ribosomal RNA (235 nucleotides) under uncultured bacterium. RNAcentral's name for it is "partial 16S ribosomal RNA". It matches the Rfam family "Bacterial small subunit ribosomal RNA", at positions 118 to 347 of the family's 1533-position model. The record is from RNAcentral.
UGAGCAAUCUGCCCUUCUCUUUGGAAUAAGCGUUGGAAACGACGUCUAAUGCCGAAUAUGACCUCCUUUCGCAUGAUCGGAGGUGGAAAGCUCCGGCGGAGAAGGAUGAGCUCGCGGCCUAUCAGCUAGUUGGUGUGGGUAAUGGCCCACCAAGGCGACGACGGGUAGCCGGCCUGAGAGGGUGACCGGCCACACUGGGACUGAGAUACCGGCCCAGACCUCCGUACGGGAGCAG